UGAAAUGCAACGAAGUUAUGUAGAAUCGAUUGUAAGCGAUUGUUAGCUAAUACUUAUCGAGAAUCGACUAUGUAUUUAUUUCUUCUCAUUGUCAGCAUUACGUAGGGUCUCCGCGUCAAGGAGUUGGGCGGAUUGCAUUCAAGGGUUAAGUGAAAUCAAUUGUGCGGCCUUUGCAAAGAAUCAAUUGAUGUGCGUAUUAUAAGAAACAAGACGAAGUCAAGAAAGAAAGAAUCAACGAGAGAGGGAAGCAAUAAGAGUAAGGAAGGUUUGUUGCAUCUAGCCUUCCUUAGUUAUAGCAAAACGGAGGCUCGUCCGGCAACGUAUGUGUUAAAAUUAAAUUUAGCCAAAAA
Molecule: long non-coding RNA, 350 nt
Filed under: Polistes fuscatus (common paper wasp)
Lineage: Eukaryota; Metazoa; Arthropoda; Insecta; Hymenoptera; Vespidae
Description: uncharacterized LOC122525511
Source: RNAcentral